This is a long non-coding RNA of Pteropus alecto (black flying fox), 417 nucleotides long. RefSeq lists it as uncharacterized. NCBI's taxonomy places the organism in Eukaryota, Metazoa, Chordata, Mammalia, Chiroptera, Pteropodidae. The record is from RefSeq and is a predicted model, not a curated record. The transcript has 2 exons.
GAAGAAUCUUUUCUUCUUGCUGAGACUAAUUUAGAAUCACUUCCUGUGGAAGUUGAAGAUGCAAGCCCUGCAAGCUAUUUGGCAUAUAAAGGUCCUGACCUGAGAAAACCAUCUUGGAUAACCAGGGCAAGGAGAAGGAAAAAUGCAACACCUAGGAGAUUUCAGUAAACAGUAGAAUCAUGCCAACCUAAUCUGUGUUAAAAUGCUUGGAAUGUGGGAGCCGCUGAUGAUGCCUGUUGUCUGUGUGUCUGACUGAAUCCUUUCUUUUCUCAGAGCAGCAAAGCAAAGCCUGGGAACCAGGCCAAAUGCCUGCCACUUACCUUAAAUUGAUCAGCCACUUUGAGAUUAAAACCCCUGAAAGCUGCCACACCGUGAAAACAAGGCCUCCUUCACAUUAAAGGCAAAUUGCGACUUUGA